This 1460-nucleotide ribosomal RNA is filed under the name uncultured prokaryote. RNAcentral describes it as "partial 16S ribosomal RNA". It matches the Rfam family "Bacterial small subunit ribosomal RNA". The record is from RNAcentral.
GAUUGAACGCUGGCGGCAGGCUUAACACAUGCAAGUCGAACGCGAAAGGCUCUUCGGAGCUGAGUAGAGUGGCGGACGGGGGAGUAAAGCUAGGAAUCUACCUAGUAGUGGGGGACAACAUGGUGAAAACCAUGCUAAUACCGCAUACGCCCUACGGGGGAAAGCGGGGGAUCUUCGGACCUCGUGCUAUUAGAUGAGCCUGCGUUAGAUUAGCUAGUUGGUGGGGUAAAGGCCUACCAAGUCUACGAUCUUUAGCUGGUUUUAGAGGAUGAUCAGCAACACUGGGACUGAGAUACGGCCCAGACUCCUACGGGAGGCAGCAGUGGGGAAUCUUGGACAAUGGGCGCAAGCCUGAUCUAGCCAUCCCGCGUGAGUGAUGAAGGCCCUUGGGUCGUAAAGCUCUGUCAGUAGGGAGGAAAAGGUAGUCGUUACUAACGGCAUUGUAUUGACGGUACCUGUAGAGGAAGCACCGGCUAACUCCGUGCCAGCAGCCGCGGUAAUACGGGGGGUGCAAGCGUUAUUCGGAAUUAUUGGGCGUAAAGCGCGCGUAGGCGGCCUGAUAAGUUGGAUGUGAAAGCCCUGGGCUCAACCUAGGAACUGCAUUCAAAACUGUCAGGCUAGAGUAUGGUAGAGGAUAGUGGAAUUUCCGGUGUAGCGGUGAAAUGCGUAGAGAUCGGAAGGAACAUCAGUGGCGAAGGCGGCUAUCUGGACCAAUACUGACGCUGAGGUGCGAAAGCGUGGGGAGCAAACAGGAUUAGAUACCCUGGUAGUCCACGCCGUAAACGAUGUCAACUAGCCGUUGGGGGGCUUGUCCCCUUAGUGGCGCAGCUAACGCGAUAAGUUGACCGCCUGGGGAGUACGGCCGCAAGGUUAAAACUCAAAUGAAUUGACGGGGGCCCGCACAAGCGGUGGAGCAUGUGGUUUAAUUCGAUGCAACGCGAAGAACCUUACCUACCCUUGACAUCCAGAGAAUCUGUUAGAGAUAGUAGAGUGCCUUCGGGAAUUCUGUGACAGGUGCUGCAUGGCUGUCGUCAGCUCGUGUCGUGAGAUGUUGGGUUAAGUCCCGUAACGAGCGCAACCCUUGUCCUUAGUUGCUAGCACGUAUGGUGGGAACUUUAAGGAGACUGCCGGUGACAAACCGGAGGAAGGAGGGGACGACGUCAAGUCAUCAUGGCCCUUACGACCUGGGCUACACACGUGCUACAAUGGGAGGUACAGAGGGACGCGAAGCCGCGAGGGGUAGCCAAUCCCAGAAAGCCGGUCGUAGUUCGGAUUGGAGUCUGCAACUCGACUCCAUGAAGCCGGAAUCGCUAGUCAUCGCGAAUCAGAAUGUCGCGGUGAAUACGUUCCCGGGCCUUGUACACACCGCCCGUCACACCAUGGGAGUGGAUUGCACCAGAAGUAGUUAGUCUAACCUUCGGGAGGACGAUUACCACGGUGUGGUCGAUGACUGGGGUGAA